Molecule: long non-coding RNA, 1680 nt
Filed under: Homo sapiens (human)
Lineage: Eukaryota; Metazoa; Chordata; Mammalia; Primates; Hominidae
Description: non-protein coding lnc-INO80E-2:2
Source: RNAcentral
CCUCCUAUACCCUGAGGCCUGACCCACCCUGGCCCCCACACCACCCCAGCAGCGGAGAUGAGGGUAAGUGAGGGCUCCUUAGGAAGCAGAGAGGAGGCCACAGGGCCAAAUGUGACACUCAGAAGGGCCACUGGAGACCACGCAUGGCGUUUCCUGCCAGCCCACUCAGCAUCUAGCCCAGGGCCAGACUGGACACUGCCCCGCAGGACCCAGCAGGCCUAAGCCUCAGGACCUCCAUGUCCACACCAGGUUCAGCCUCCUCUGCUGGCACGUGACUUCUCCCCGUUUCCCGCCCCCCAGUGUCCUGAGGCUGGGAGGGCAUUAACAGAAACCACCUGACACACAGCAGGUGCCCAGUUUGUGCCCACAGACAAAGCACGGGGACUGCAGAGGAGACCCACAGAGCUCUCUAGGGAGGGUUUGUGAGGACCUGGCAGCGGGGGGGAGCUGAAGGGUUGAGCAGGGCAGAGGCCACUUCCCACCCUCAGAGGACAAAGCAGGACUUCUGACAAAUAGAGCAGGAUGCCCAGGGGGAGGGGCUGCCUGUCGUCCCGCAGGCGGCACUCCCGCCCCGAGGCCCCGAGUGGCACGGUGACGCGCUCAGGUCUGUGUUUUAGAGCGCGCGCUCUGGCUGCCGUGCGGAGGAGCUGGAUCUGGGAGAGGCUGCGGGCAGGGAGUCCAGUUAGGAGGCUGGGACCGCAGCCCAGGUGAGCUAAGAGGAGGGCUGGGCCUAGGCCACAGCUGCCGGGACCCCGAGGAGGGGCCCAUCCAAGACAUAAUACAAGCUUCUUGGGGGCAGAUAAGCCGCUGGGGCUCCUGGCUCAGGCAGCCUGCAAUACCCUCCACCGAACCAGUGAGUGCCGCAGAAGAGGGAGAGGAGGAGUAGGGAGAGGAAGCUGGUGGCAGGUGGCACCUCCGGGGCCGGCAGGCAGGCAAGCACUCCAGGCCGACUCCGCCUCUGGCUUAACCCGCGGCGGCCGGCGAGGAGAGCGCGGAGUCGAGCUGUGCGAGCCGAGAGGGAGGGAGCGCCGAGAAAGUGCGGGGAGGAGGGGGUGAGCGAGGUGGAGGCGAGGAUGCAGCCGGCGCGGCGGCGGGGGACGGGGAGGGGCGCUGGGGCUGGGGAGGGGGCGGGAUCUCGGACUCCCACCCGGGGCCCGCUCGGGAGCGCACGCGAGCGCGCACACACACGUGUGCUCGCGCGCGCACACUCACGCAGGGGCACGCGGACCGGCACACACUCGUGUGCACACAUCCAACCGGGCACCCCCGCGCGCACACGCCCGUGCCCACGUGUGCACGCUCACACCCUUGCACACACCCAGGCGCGCGCUGGCACACUUACCCGGAGAACUUCGCACACACACGCACUCGCAAACACGCGGGCUCCCUGCGCCACCAGGAAGCAGCCGCCAGAAUCGCCGGGUGUUCCCCAACUACUCCUGGGAGACCUGGCCCCCCGCCCCCGCCCGCGCGCGCGGCCACGGCGCCUCCCUCCCUCCCGGGUCCCCAAGGCCGGACCACCGGCCUCGUUGUCAUGGCGACGCCGGCUCAUCUCCCCCCACCCCCGCGCGUCUUCACGCCCCUCCCCCGCAGGGAGCUGGGGCCUCCCUCCUCCCUUCCCCACGUCCGUAGGGACCCACAGGUUGACAGGAGCAGGGGGUCGCCUGCUGUCACCGGCCG